Molecule: long non-coding RNA, 305 nt
Organism: Branchiostoma floridae (Florida lancelet)
Lineage: Eukaryota; Metazoa; Chordata; Leptocardii; Amphioxiformes; Branchiostomatidae
Exons: 3
Source: RefSeq, a predicted model, not a curated record
AUAAGAAGCUUGGAUAUGGUACCGAACGGUCAGUGAUAUGGUGACGACUGUUUAGGAGAUGAACAUCCGAAGCUACAAACUACAAAGGCUGAGAUGAAAGAAACCCACAAGUGAAUCCAUCUGCCAAAUUGCAUUAGAAGUAAAAAAGGAUGUGCGGCAAACGGUUGGCAACUACGGUUUUUGCCCCCUCCCUAAAAGGUAUAAGAAGCUUGGAUAUGGUACCGAACGGUCAGUGAUAUGGUGACGACUGUUUACGAGAUGAACGCCCGAAGCUACAAACUACAAAGACGAGAUGAAAGAAACCC